RNAcentral lists this small RNA (220 nucleotides) under Solanum multispinum. Its description in RNAcentral is "SprA". The record is from RNAcentral. Lineage: Eukaryota; Viridiplantae; Streptophyta; Magnoliopsida; Solanales; Solanaceae.
UAAUUGAAUAAUUUAAUGAUUUCCCCUUCCUAUUUGAUAUUGAUUAGCUCACCAAUCCAUAUGUAAUGGAACUCUAUUCGCUUUUCUGAUUGAUAUAUAAAAUAAUAGAAUCAGGAAAUCCUCUAUUUACUAUAUCACUGAAUAAUAACUUUUUUGUUGACAAAAGAAUAAAGAUCAUUUCUAUUCCAAGGUGGGGAGUUUUAUUUUCCCCAUCAACCUA